CGGACGGGUGAGUAAUGUCUGGGAAACUGCCCGAUGGAGGGGGAUAACUACUGGAAACGGUAGCUAAUACCGCAUGACGUCGCAAGACCAAAGAGGGGGACCUUAGGGCCUCUUGCCAUCGGAUGUGCCCAGAUGGGAUUAGCUUGUAGGUAAGGUAACGGCUUACCUAGGCGACGAUCCCUAGCUGGUCUGAGAGGAUGACCAGCCACACUGGAACUGAGACACGGUCCAG
Molecule: ribosomal RNA, 232 nt
Filed under: uncultured bacterium
Lineage: Bacteria
Description: partial 16S ribosomal RNA
Rfam family: Bacterial small subunit ribosomal RNA
Source: RNAcentral